This is a long non-coding RNA of Prunus mume (Japanese apricot), 517 nucleotides long. RefSeq lists it as uncharacterized. The record is from RefSeq and is a predicted model, not a curated record. NCBI's taxonomy places the organism in Eukaryota, Viridiplantae, Streptophyta, Magnoliopsida, Rosales, Rosaceae.
CGUGUCAUUUCCUUCUUUCCUUCUCCGUUUCUCUCUCUGCAAUUUCCUCUCUUCAAUGGCUGAAACCUCGGCUGCUCUUUGCUUCUCACCCUUCUCUUCCUUCCCCUCUUUCUCUCGCGCCAAGGACUCAUCUUUCUCUUCUCUCUCCGCGGCUUUCCCUCCCAAAUUCCCAUCCUUACCCCUCUCGCCUUAUCCGGUUUCGCGCCACUUCCUCCUCCGAUUCGUCCAAUUCCUUACCCGACGAUCUCUUCGGCUUCUUUCCUUGGUCCAAGGACUCCGAAAUUGAAUGGGUUGCUGAGGAGAGAGUCACAUUGUUCACUACUGACGGGCUCGUUCAGAUUGGAGGCUCCAUGGUCCCUAGACGUGUCACUUCCUCAAAUGUAUGUUAUAUUCGUUGUUUUCUCUAAAGCAUAAAGUUGAGCCACUGUGUUCAGAGACACUGAGAAUUCAGAGAAGGGAGCAUUAAAAAAGAGGUGGGUUGGCUUUGAGUUUAAUAAAUGAACUAGGUUGUGCGUCA